RNAcentral lists this ribosomal RNA (398 nucleotides) under Hyalophora cecropia (cecropia moth). RNAcentral's name for it is "SSU rRNA". It matches the Rfam family "Eukaryotic small subunit ribosomal RNA", at positions 432 to 791 of the family's 1831-position model. Lineage: Eukaryota; Metazoa; Arthropoda; Insecta; Lepidoptera; Saturniidae. The record is from RNAcentral.
GCGCGCAAAUUACCCACUCCCGGCACGGGGAGGUAGUGACGAAAAAUAACGAUACGGGACUCUAACGAGGCCUCGUAAUCGGAAUGAGUACACUUUAAAUAUUUUAACGAGGAACAAUUGGAGGGCAAGUCUGGUGCCAGCAGCCGCGGUAAUUCCAGCUCCAAUAGCGUAUACUAAAAUUGUUGCGGUUAAAAAGCUCGUAGUUGCAUUUGUGCGCCGCGCUGCCGGUGCACCGCAUUAGCGGUGAUACUGACACGUCUGCGGAGCAUAUCGUCGGUGAGCCGGCGGUAAAACGCCGGUUCAAUAUCAAAAUCCUAUCGCGGUGCUCUUCGGUGAGUGUCGAGGUGGGCCGACAAUUUUACUUUGAACAAAUUAGAGUGCAGACAAAGGGGCCGAAA